This 876-nucleotide long non-coding RNA is filed under the name Olea europaea (common olive). RNAcentral describes it as "long non-coding RNA (OEUR_LNC011294)". Lineage: Eukaryota; Viridiplantae; Streptophyta; Magnoliopsida; Lamiales; Oleaceae. The record is from RNAcentral.
UCACAAGGUAGGAGCUACAAGCUAGAUUGGCUGAUAAAUGUUUCCAAUUUCCUCGCCACCACCUGAAAUACGAUAUUAAUAACCAAUUUAUCCUCUAUCUAAUCAAGAAACCUUAAUAUCUAAUGAUAGAACUUAAAAUUAAAUUUUCUGGACACUUGAAUAAGUUCUCAAAUUUUCCUUAUUAAUUGGAGCUAAUCACACUUUAUAAUCCAUUGACUAAUAACUAAUUUGUCAACAUAACCUUCACUUCCAAACAUCACUAUGACAUCCACAUCAUUCAAGUGACAAGAAGUUGCUAUAAUUCAACUAAUUAAAAUUUUCCUCUUGUUCCAUAAUUUCAUGCUUCCAAUUAAUUAUUUUCUCAACAUCAUCAUUUCCAUAAACAUACUUAAUCCCAAAAAUCCCAAAUAAAAUUUCUAGGGUUUGCUAAAAUAAUAUCCCUUACCUAGCUGAAAUUGAAAAUGAAGAAAUCCCCAAACUUGAGCUCCAAUUUGUACAAAUAUCACCUAAAAUUCGACAUUUUAUUCUACAAGUUAAAACCCUAAAAAUUAAUAUAAAUCAUACUUAAUCACUCGAAAACAAGUGGAAAAAUUAAACCCAACUUGAAGAGAUUAACCUCACCUCUUUUCUUCUUCUUUUUCCCUUCUUCUUUUCCUUUUUCUUUUUCUUUUUCCUUUCUUCUUUCCCUUUUUCUCCUUCACAGCCUGUCUCUGCUUCUCUUGUUACUGUGUGUGUGUGUGUUUUGGUGUGAAAUGAGAGAAAAUGGGUCAAAUGGUUGAAUUAAAUGGUCCACUAACCCAUAAUUGCAAACUAAGUCCUUAACUCUCUUUUUCAUAUCACAUUUAAUCCUAACACUUCCAAAAUUAUAUAAGUAAG